Small nucleolar RNA from Sorex araneus (European shrew), 132 nucleotides. RefSeq annotates it as U8 small nucleolar RNA. The transcript has a single exon. Lineage: Eukaryota; Metazoa; Chordata; Mammalia; Eulipotyphla; Soricidae. The record is from RefSeq and is a predicted model, not a curated record.
UCGGCAGGUCGGGUAGUCCUUACCUGUGCCUCUAUUCGGAGGGUGGCUAGAGCACGGUUGGAGCUCGCAGCAUUGGGGAUGCACGGCUCGGCGUGAUCAGGGCUCGCAGCACCCUGAUCGCUCCUGUCUGAG